UACGGAGGGUGCGAGCGUUGUCCGGAAUCACUGGGCGUAAAGCGCGCGCAGGCGGUCUUCCAAGUCAGUGGUGAAAGCCCGGAGCUCAACUCCGGAACUGCCAUUGAAACUGUUGGACUUGAGUACGAGAGAGGUGAGUGGAAUUCCCAGUGUAGAGGUGAAAUUCGUAGAUAUUGGGAAGAACACCGGUGGCGAAGGCGGCUCACUGGCUCGUAACUGACGCUCAGGCGCGACAGCGUGGGGAUCAAACAGG
This 253-nucleotide ribosomal RNA is filed under the name uncultured bacterium. RNAcentral describes it as "partial 16S ribosomal RNA". It matches the Rfam family "Bacterial small subunit ribosomal RNA", at positions 524 to 776 of the family's 1533-position model. The record is from RNAcentral.